UACGUAGGGUGCAAGCGUUAAUCGGAAUUACUGGGCGUAAAGCGUGCGCAGGCGGUUCGACAAGUCCGAUGUGAAAGCCCCGGGCUCAACCUGGGAAUGGCAUUGGAAACUGGCGAGCUUGAGUGUGGCAGAGGGGGGUGGAAUUCCGCGUGUAGCAGUGAAAUGCGUAGAGAUGUGGAGGAACACCGAUGGCGAAGGCAGCCCCCUGGGUCAACACUGACGCUCAUGCACGAAAGCGUGGGGAGCAAACAGG
Molecule: ribosomal RNA, 253 nt
Filed under: uncultured bacterium
Lineage: Bacteria
Description: partial 16S ribosomal RNA
Rfam family: Bacterial small subunit ribosomal RNA
Source: RNAcentral